Molecule: long non-coding RNA, 310 nt
Filed under: Homo sapiens (human)
Lineage: Eukaryota; Metazoa; Chordata; Mammalia; Primates; Hominidae
Description: HSALNT0081271
Source: RNAcentral
UCUGAACCUAUUGUGUUCCUCUGGGAAUACAAUGCAGGAAUGAGUACUGCUUCUUGCAAGUUGUUCUCUGAGUUUUUAUUAAAUAUCAACAGAAGUGCAACAAUAUGAGACAGAACUUCAAACGUAAUCACUGCUGUUAGCUAGAAUAACAGGAACAACCCAGGAGCUAGACAAUAGUUCCCGUGCCAGGUCCUCAAGUAAUCUUGAUGCAGAGCAGACUGCAUGAAUAUCAGGACAAUUACCUCACUGAAAGUUAAUAUACUUUACCUCUUCAACCCCAUCACACACACACAAACAACACACACACGCA